RNAcentral lists this ribosomal RNA (425 nucleotides) under uncultured bacterium. RNAcentral's name for it is "bacterial SSU rRNA". It matches the Rfam family "Bacterial small subunit ribosomal RNA", at positions 356 to 773 of the family's 1533-position model. The record is from RNAcentral.
GGGGAAUAUUGGACAAUGGGCGCAAGCCUGAUCCAGCAAUGCCGCGUGGGUGAAGAAGGCCUUCGGGUUGUAAAGCCCUUUUGUACGGAAAGAAAUCCUGUCGGUUAAUACCCGGCGGGGAUGACGGUACCGUAAGAAUAAGCACCGGCUAACUUCGUGCCAGCAGCUGCGGUAAUACGAAGGGUGCAAGCGUUAAUCGGAAUUACUGGGCGUAAAGCGUGCGUAGGUGGUUGUUUAAGUCUGUCGUGAAAGCCCUGGGCUCAACCUGGGAAUGGCGAUGGAUACUGGGCGACUGGAGUGCGGUAGAGGAUGGCGGAAUUCCCGGUGUAGCGGUGAAAUGCGUAGAGAUCGGGAGGAACAUCCGUGGCGAAGGCGGCCAUCUGGACCAGCACUGACACUGAGGCACGAAAGCGUGGGGAGCAAAC